GUUCUCUUCCUCUGCCAGGGUCCCAACAGGAUGCAAUAUACAGCCAGCCCAUCACAGGAAUCUCCAGCUGAUGAUGAAGAGGAAUUGCACUACGCAUCCCUUGACCAUCUCGGAAAACCACAGACAAGGAUUUAUGAUAGGCAGAGUGAUACCAUUGCGACCUACAGCACAGUGAUGCCCUCUGCUGGUGACAAAAGGCACAGCACAAGUCCUGCUGACCCCAACGCUCUCUACGCCACCGUGCAGAAGAAAGACAACACUUAGACGCUCACAUGUGUUGUAUAUGAUGCAUGAUCUCACUUAGACGCUCACAUGUGUUAUACUGUAUAUGAUGCAUGAUCUCUGUUGUAAUGUGUUAAUUGGCACAGUGUGCAUAAUGUGCAGAAGACAGAAGACACAUGAAGGAGGACACAGCUACUGUCACACACAGCACGUUAUCUCUCUUUAACAUCUGGGUCAAAGACGUGCAAAAUCAAAUUGUCAUUCAGUGUAACAGAUACCUUCUGCAGACUGUAACGGUUAAAAACACGACUCUUUUUAUUUUAUUUUUUCCCAGUGAAUUCAUGAAAGCCUCGGCUGUCAUCCAUUCACUUGAAACAAUUUAAAAAUUUCGCCAUUUCGCACAACUUUGACCCAUCUGCACAGCAUCAGCUGUUUGAAUAUCAUAGUGGGCUGCUUGUGGUUAACAUCUUGGUAGAGACAGUUUGUAAAUGUGUAAACUGUUAAAGACAGUUUUUGAACAAAUGUUUUUUUUGUCUUCAGAAACGUGCACAAACAAAGCACAAACGAUUCCAACCAACCAUGUUUGACUAGGUGCUGAGUGGCGUAUUUUAAGUUAAAUACCUGUACAUGGUUUGUGCACAAAUGUUAAUUUUCUGAAAAAAUGUGUGCAAAAGGAGCACAAAUGAUUCCAACCAUUUUCAGAGUCAUUUGGAUGUUCAUGUUCACGUUUGUUUACACAAACCAACCAUGUUUGGGUCAUUUGGGUGUUGACGGGAUGUUGAGUUUCAUUUUUCAGUAUGAGUGUAAUUUUUUAUUGUGCAUUCUAUUCACAGGAAAUAUUUGAGCAAAACAUUAGAGCUUAUGUGUGAAAUAUUUUCCCACCUGUAUCCAUCUCAAAAUAUGUCUAUUUUACAGUGGGCGUUCUAUAAUUUAGGUUUUACUGUACGUGAAACAUUUUUUCUGCUCUAGAAAAAGAACCUUAAUGUCCUUGUUUUCAGUGGCCAAGCU
Long non-coding RNA from Engraulis encrasicolus (European anchovy), 1230 nucleotides. RefSeq lists it as uncharacterized. NCBI's taxonomy places the organism in Eukaryota, Metazoa, Chordata, Actinopteri, Clupeiformes, Engraulidae. The record is from RefSeq and is a predicted model, not a curated record. The transcript is spliced from 3 exons.